CAGAACAUCAGUGCACUCACUAAUACAAUAUUGGUUACCAUGACAAUAAUUUGAGGUCAACAACCAUUAUUAAGAUAAAUGAAAGUUCGGGUAUACGGCGAUUGAAAACGAGGCGCUGUACUAAUUCCUGACCCACACGAACACUACCAAGAAUGCACUCCCUGUGGCGCUUGGUUAUGAUGAAUUAACUACGACGUGAAUUAGACCUUAAAUCCACGACUCUGACGUCAAACGUGCUACACAGCAACCACAGCGUCGCUCCUCGGGCGAACGUUUUGUGUUUAUUUAUGAUUGAGAGGACCAAUAUGUAACACCACCAUUGUUGAAGAACGGGUCAAUUCCAUUGUUUGUGGGCUGAAAAGGAUAUUCGGCGGAAAUUGUAAAAAGAUAAAAACCAAACAAGUUUGUGUUUUCCCUCCAACAACGACUACACUCCCAACAACAACCUCGACCACUACAACCUCCCCAACAACAACGUCACCAAGCCCUACGACAACCAAACCGACGACAACAGAAGCCCCGGCCACUACUACUACAGAUCCGACCAGUGCUAUCGACUGUUCCCUGGAUACGUUCUUUCCUGACAAAGAUCAAACCAAAUACUUCCAGUGUCAGGGCAAUAUCCCAACACUCGUCACGUGUCCGGUCACCAGAAGUACCAACGGCGGACCAGACCGUGAACAAGUGUGGGACCAACACUCGCGCUCAUGUAUGACUACUCCCGCGGGCACGGCAAGCUGUCGCGAGCCUACAGGACGUCAGCCCGGCCUCUACUGUAACAUGUACAUUGACUGCCAGAACGGCGUGCUGUCUAAGAUUCGGUGCGAGACUGGGUUCUUUUAUAACCACGCAAAGAGGGACUGUACAAUGAACUCCACAUGUACCGAAGUGUAAACACUAGGUGAAUAUGCUGUAUCGCAGAAGACGAAUAAAAAUAUGAUGAUCUGGGCAGGAUAAUCUAAACCUAGGCAGGAUAACCAGAAUUCGGACAGGGUUGCCUUGAUCCAGGGUUAAUUUAAUCCGGGCUGAAUAACCUAAGUCUAGGUACACUUCAAUCCGGGCUGGACAGCCUCGAUCUGAUAGCUAACAAAGCUGACUGAUGA
Mizuhopecten yessoensis (Yesso scallop) is the source of this 1103-nucleotide RNA transcript. It is a transcript of the gene named integumentary mucin C.1-like, with no coding region annotated. The record is from RefSeq and is a predicted model, not a curated record. The transcript has 6 exons. Lineage: Eukaryota; Metazoa; Mollusca; Bivalvia; Pectinida; Pectinidae.